ACUUAACUGACCAGAUAGCAUAUGUUAGCAGAAUGCUAAUGUUUUCUGGACAAAAUGUACCUUUUUACUGUACUGUUAAAACUUUUCAUAUUUGUUCAUUGUUUUUUCUGACCUAAAGCCAAUAAUACUGCAUUUUUGACAAGUAAAAUCUAAUUUUACUUUUUUUGUUUAAACUAGGGGUGUAUUUUCUUUAGCUCACAAGUGACUGCUUGGCACAGAGUUAAUAUGUCCUAGAACAGCGGUCCCCAACCUUUUUCGCGCCAAGGACCGAUUUAUGUCCGACAGAAUUUUCACGGACCGGCCUUUAAGGUGUCACGGAUAAAUACAACAAAAUAAAACCAGUACCAGUACCAAAAAAAAGAAGAUUUAUUCCUAAUACAUGGGAAAAGACCCAGGGAAACCGAGUUAACAAUAAAAACAAUUUUAAAAAAAUAAUGAUAAAAACCGAUAAAAAACCUGAAAACCAUAAAUUUCACACCCGAGCCUCAACACUUACAGCCCUGUACCAAACGACUCACAGACCGGCCUGGAGUUUGAGGACCGCUGUCCUAGAAUAAAAUCCCCCAAAAAUGUUUAUUAACAAUCCAAUAAAUAUCUUUUAACUCACAGUAUUUAUGAUAAAUACCAAUCAGAUUUCAAAACCAAUCAGAACACAAUCAGAACGCUCUUAUAACCUGAACAGAAAAGGCAACUUACAGAAACUUUCAGUCUUAAGGCCUUUGCAAACUGGUGAAUAUUUUUCUGACUCACCUGUUCUUAAUGCAACUGUUCACACCAACUGUGUAAUUUUACUGAACAAAUUUGCGGCAUUUAUUUUUUUCUAACCUAGCUCGAUAUUUCUGAUUUGUGACGCAAACAAACAGAUCUGGCCAAUCAAAUCACUGCAUCUGGCAAGGUGCAAGCUGUUUUACCUCAGACACACAGUGAGAUGCUCUGUAAUAACCGCUCUCUGAAAUGAUCUCUCUGCCUCCUCAGAUCUGUUCCCAGCUAUGCCAACAAGACCUCAAACUGCCC
Molecule: long non-coding RNA, 1014 nt
Organism: Astatotilapia calliptera (eastern happy)
Lineage: Eukaryota; Metazoa; Chordata; Actinopteri; Cichliformes; Cichlidae
Source: Ensembl